RNAcentral lists this ribosomal RNA (78 nucleotides) under Microbacterium aurantiacum. RNAcentral also lists the same sequence under 5 other names. Lineage: Bacteria; Bacillati; Actinomycetota; Actinomycetes; Micrococcales; Microbacteriaceae. The record is from RNAcentral.
CCGAACCCGGAAGCUAAGCCUCUCAGCGCCGAUGGUACUGCAGGGGGGACCCUGUGGGAGAGUAGGACACCGCCGGAC